UACGAAGGGGGCUAGCGUUGCUCGGAAUCACUGGGCGUAAAGCGCACGUAGGCGGGUCCUUAAGUCAGGGGUGAAAUCCUGGAGCUCAACUCCAGAACUGCCUUUGAUACUGAGGAUCUCGAGUUCGGGAGAGGUGAGUGGAACUGCGAGUGUAGAGGUGAAAUUCGUAGAUAUUCGCAAGAACACCAGUGGCGAAGGCGGCUCACUGGCCCGGUACUGACGCUGAGGUGCGAAAGCGUGGGGAGCAAACAGG
Molecule: ribosomal RNA, 253 nt
Filed under: uncultured bacterium
Lineage: Bacteria
Description: partial 16S ribosomal RNA
Rfam family: Bacterial small subunit ribosomal RNA
Source: RNAcentral